Molecule: long non-coding RNA, 6419 nt
Organism: Homo sapiens (human)
Lineage: Eukaryota; Metazoa; Chordata; Mammalia; Primates; Hominidae
Exons: 2
Source: RefSeq, a predicted model, not a curated record
UGCCCAGCCACUGGGCUGCUUUUGUGUGUGUGUGCGCUUGCUUUUCAUUUAUAACCUUGCCCUUACAGGGGAGUUUCCUGCUGCCCCUGACGUCUAAGGGAGUGUUAAUGUGACAAGGAAGGAUGUGCUGAUCUAUGGCAAAAGGAACUUCCGGUUAAGUGGCCAGCCAACGCAACCAUCAGUUAAUAGAGGACUGGGAAAUUGAAAUUGCAAAUCUGAUACUGAAUAUCGUUCUUUAGUCACGGGGAAUGUUUUCCAUUUUAAAAAGAUGUUUUUCUUUAAUAACAUUUUAAAGUAUGUUUUUGAGGUUUUGAUACAGAUGGCUAAAGCUCAAUGAGCCGUUCAACUUGUAGAAAAUAAUAGGAAGAAUUUCAAAAAGAAAUAAGCAAGUCGUUUCACCUCCUUUGUUUGAGGACAACAUUGCCUGCUCCAGAGGUUCCCAAGGUUACUUAAGUCAGGGCACCCUUUUAGGGCAUGGCAGCUUUUCUCGUGGCACCCCUUGGAUAAAAGUAAUACCUAACAGUUUUGUUUACUAAGUAAUAAUGCUCAGACAACUUAAUAAAUAUCCAUGUCCUCACAACCAGGUAUAAUAUACAAAAAUAACACACGUAAAUCAAACUAAAAGAAAAUAUUUCAUUUCAUCCUUAAAUAGCCAGGGCCACUGGCUCAUGAGUGAGCACACCUGCUGGUCACACACAAUUCCCCCGUCUCUGGAAUCGCUGGACACAGUCACCCUCAUUUCCUGGUCCACCUUGACUUUUGUUUGAUUCUCGUUUUUUUUGUAGCAGCUGAGGAAAACCCAGCUCCACAAAGAUAUGGCAUCGCCUACUAGUUUCCGGGAAUGUGAUUGUGUGUUCUGAAAGCAGAAACUGUCCUGUGGCACUCCUGGGAGUCCAUGGUCUCACCAGUGUUCCUUAGCACACAGUUGGGAACCACUGGAGCAAGUCCAGUUUCAAGUUUGCAGCUGCCCUCUCGGGGAAUGUACAGAUGAAACAUCAGCCACAGAAGGCUCCUCAUCCACUGUCAUGUGACUGUAAAAGAUUUGUGAAUCUGUAAGCAGCACUUAAUGGAAGGUAUCUCAAUGGCAACAGAAGUCAAGGAAAAUCCUUCACCUCUGCAUCCCUGCAAGGGCACGUGAUGCAAAUUAAUUUGCCAGAUCUUCCUUUUUGGGUGAAAAAGUCCAAGUAACAGUGGAAAGAGAAUUCUGCCUCUCUUGGCUAUGCUUUGCUCUGUCUGGCCCCGAACUGAAAAUUGAGCUCAGUUUCCUCAUUCUGAAGUGAUCUGGGGAUGGCGCCUUUGCCCAGCGUGCUCAGGUGUGGUAUCUGUCAGAUUUGAUCAUUAAACCCCCAACAGGGACUGCUGGACAAGACAGGAGGAUUGGGACUCAAGGUCGGGGAUUGAGCACACGGAGCCUUUCUUGUGCUGAUGACCGGUCAGACUUCAGCAUGGCCCAGUCAGCUGUGGCCAUUUCUGAGCCUGAUUGAUCCCUUUGGGAAAUGACCACACAUUAAAGGAAAUCGGAUUCAGUAUAAAGCCUGAUUUGUUGUUUCCGUGACUGGAAGGGACUUCCCAAAUGGGCCCCUGCAGGAUUACAGUAUUGGGAGCUGCAAUUAUUUGAGCUCUGUGGCUGAGUUUCCAUACAGAAAAAACAGACCAGAAAUCCUUCCCUGGGUUUUGUAAAAGUUGAUUCAGACAGAUGGGCCUGUCUAUUACAUUUUUGCUCUGGGAAAUAAUUAUAAUUAUUUAGAUGGCUUAAACCUUCAGGUUGCUAUGUAUUUCUUUAAAGUCCAUGUCCUUAAUUCUACUGUUUUUCUUACUGAUCAGAAUUCUUAGACCUUUUCCAUUUGGAAAACUCUUUCUCUAAUCCCCACACGCUCCACUAGUCUCACCAUAAAUGUUUCUGCCCCUUUCCUUCAAGCCAUGAAGGUUCACCAGGGUGAGAGAAACAGAAAUGGCAUCUCAAUGUAAGCCGGUAGGAAAUCCCUUCUAUAGAUUCAUCCUUUUAGGAUGGAUCUCAAUGUGAGAUGAGGAAUACAUUUCCAUGAAAUUUCGUUGAAUAGAUAAUCCACAACAUUGGUGGAGGUGGAGAGAGAAAAGAAAAUGUCUCCUUAAGUUAGACCCAAAGAGAACAGCCAAUUAUACACAGGUGGAUGCCCACUAACCUGUUAUUAAAAUAAAUUUUUAAGUUUUGAAUGAAUUUAGAUUUACAAAGAGGAUGCAAAGAUAGUACAGAGCGCUCUCGCAUAGAGAGCCCACACCCCAUUUCCCCUGUUGGCAACAUCUUAUGUUAUCAUCGUGCAUCGAGAAACCAGUGAUGCCACCUUGCUAUGGACCAUGCACUCUGCACGUCAUGUGGGUUUUGUCAGCUUCUCACAAAUGUCCUUUAUCUGUGUCACAGUCCCAUUCAGAAACCUCAUGUAUAGUCACCGUGUCUCCCUGGCCUCCUCUGGUCUGUGACGGUUUUCUAGAUGUUCUUUGCUUUUUAGUGACCUUGACAGUUUUGAGGAGAACAGGUCAGUAUUUUGUAGGAUGUCCCUCAAUCUGGGUUUGUCUGUUUUCUCACGAUUGAAGUGGGGUUCUGGGCUCUUGGAAAUAACACAAUAGAGGUGAAGUGCCCUUCUCUGGUACACAUGUUCAUGAAUCUUGGCUGUGCAUUUACCUAGCAGGGAAAUUGCUGUGAAAGUGGGUGUGUGUAUCUUUAACCUCUGUAGGUAGAGUCAAACAGUUUCCAAGGUGGUAGUCCAAUUUACAGGCCACCAGCAGUGUCUGAAAGCUUCUGUUUUCCUACAACCUCACCACAGGUGUGUCAUAGUUCAUUCAAGCUACUAUCACAAAGGAUCUUAGACUGGGUAAUUUAUAACCAUGGAAACAUUGCUCACAGUUCUGGAGGUUGGGAAGUCUAAAAUCAGGGCACCAGCAGGCCAUUUGGUGAGGGCUGCUCUCUGCUCCAUAGAUGGUGCCUCACUGCUGUGUCCUCACAUGGCAUGAGGGAUAAAGGACCAAACAGGCUCCCUCAAGCCCCUCCACUUCUUUUUUUGUUUGAGAUAGGGUCUCGCUCUGUUGCCCAAGCUGGAGUGCAGUGGCAUGAUCUUUGCUCACUGAAACCUCUGCCUCUUGGGUUCAAGUGAUUCUCCCGCCUCAGCCUCCUGAGUAGCUGGGAUUAUAGGCAUGUGGCACCAUACCUGGAUGAUUUUUGUACUUUUAGCAGAGACAGGGUUUCACCAUGUUGCCCAGGCUGGCCUCGAACUCCUGAGCUCAGGCAAUCCAUCCGCCUUGGCCUCCCAAAAUGCUGGGAUUGCAGGCGUGAGCCACUGUGCCUGGCCCUCAACCCUUAUAUAAGGACACUAAUCUCACUUACGAGGAUUCCACCCUCAUGACCUAGCCACCUUCCAAAGGCCCUACCUCCAGAUGCCGUCAAAUUGGUGGUUAGGAUUUCAACAAAUGAACUUGGUGGGAAAUACACAUUUGGACCACAGCAAUGUAUUACCGUCAUUCUUUUUAAUGUUAUCCAUUCUCUGUGUGUUGUAGAAUCUCAAAGUAAUCAUUUUCAUCUUAAUGAGGGUGAGAAUUUUUUUAUAUGCGAUUGGCAACUUUAAUACUCUCUUUGGCAAAGCACCUGUGAAGGUCUUUCCUGGUUUUCUAUGGGGUUGUCUGUUAUUUUCAUAUCUGUGGGAGUUCUUCGUAUCAUUGAGAUACAAUCUCUUUGUCAGUUAAAUAUCUUCUCCCACUCUAUGGCUUGGAUUUUUUGCUCAUUUAAGGCUUCUUAUAAAGGACAGAGUUCUUCAUUAAAAUGUCAUCCAAAAUUGCACUUUUUCAUUUAUGGUAGAGUUUUUUGUGUCUGCUUAAAGUGUCCUUCCCUACUCUGAGGUCAUGAAGGUAUUUUGCUGUGUUUUCUUACCAAAACAUUACUGUUUCACUUUUCACAUUUUGGUAAGCUGGUAUUGAUUUUUAUGUAUGGAGGCAAGUGGAGGUUAAAUCUUUCUUUCUCCCUCUUCUUUUCCUUCCUUCCUUCCUUCUCUUUCUUUCUCUCCUUUCUUCCCUCUUUCUCUUUUCUUUCACCUCAUAUAAAUACUUAAUUGUCCCAUCACAUGUAUUAGAAGUCCUGCCUUUCCCUGCACUCUGCGGGGCCACCUCUGUCACAACCCUGGAGGCCAUCCAUGCAGUGUGUUUCUGGAGUCUGUUCUGUUUCAGUGUUUUAUUUGUCUGCACUAUGGUCUGAACGUUUGUGUCCUCCCACAUUUCAUAUGCUGAAAUCUAAUUCCCAAUGUGAUAGAAUGAGGAGCUGGGGCCUUUGGGAGGGAGGAGUUCAUGGGGGCAGAUCCUCAGGAAUGAGAUUAGUGCCCUUGUAAAUGAGGCCCCAGAGAGCUCCCACAUCCCUUUUGCCAUGUGAGGUCACAGCAAAGAGAUGGCUUCCCUGAACCAGGAACCAGGCUUCACCAACACCAAAUCUGCUAGCACCUUGAUCUUCCACUUCCCAGUCCCCAGAACUGCGAUAAAUACAUUUCCGUGGUUAGAAGCCACCUGGUUUGUGGUGUUGUGUCAUAACAGCUAGGACAUGCUGAGACGGUCUUCCACCUCCACCACGGCAUCUCUGACCUUCAGCUCUGGGCAGUGCGACUGCCCAGCAGAGCAAGCUCCUGCCUGGAUCCUGCAAGGCUCUUCCAGGCCUUUGCAUUUUUGUAUAACUCACUUAAAAAAAUUUGGAGAACCACAGAAGUGAGAUGAUGCCCUUUUCAGAGCAACGUCAGGAACACAUGCUUCCCAGCGCCACACAGUUAAGGAGAUGUCUGACAGUCCUCUUUUCUGUACAGGUAAUAUUUUUUUUGCUUUUGUAAUUAGUAUUUAUUCUGAGAGGGAGAUACUUUGAUACUAUGUAAAUAUACUGUUACACAUCAUUCUUUAAUCCAUUAGUUUUAGCAUUUGUUGAUGAUUCUAAUCUGAGUUGAUUGUUAACAUGGUGGUUUUCAAAUGAUGAUUUUUCUAACCCCAUUGUUCCUACAUUUAUUCCUUGGUGUUAUGGGUUAAUUGUGUGUUCAUAACCUCUAGCACCCAAAUUCAUAACUCUUAGCACCUCAACAUGUGCCCUUAUUUGGAGUUUGGUCUUUACAGAGGUGAUCAAGAUAAAAUAAGGUUAUUAGGGUGGGCCCCAAUCCAACAAGACAGGGGUCCUUAUAAUAAGGGAAGAUUUAGGUGGAAAGACACACACAAGGAGGAUGAUAGGAAGGCCCAGGAGAAGGCAGCCAUCUACAAGCCAAGGAGAGAGGCUUGAACAGAUAAUCCCCCAGCCUCAGAAGGAGUCAACCCUACGGACACCUUGAUCUGGGACUUCCAGCCUCCAGAGCUGUGAGACAAUACGUUUUUGUUGUUGAAGCCACUGGGUUUGUGGUGUUUUUUACAGCAGCCCUAGGAAACAGUUCUCUAUGAUAAGGAAGAGUUCUUUGGCCCUCCCUUAUUGGUUUAGUUACUUUGAUCAGUGUGAACUUAGGGGACUUUGCUGCUUGCAUUGUCCUAGAUGAGGCAGGAGAGUCCCACACACUGGUGCCAUGUCCUCUGGACCUGCCUCAUCAUUGUUUUUGUCCAGGGUGUGACAGGCCCACUUUGUUCUCUCUCCAUGCCUGGCCUGAAGUCAGCCUCUUUCCCACAGAGUCCAGGUUCCUGAGAGUGAAGAAUGAUGUUCAAAAACCAAGAUCUGUGAGUCACGUAAGCUUUCUGAAACAGCUUGUCAUUUUUCACAAACAGAUCUGUUUGAAUUGUGGUGGGAUUUCAGUGACCUGUAGAAUACUUUAGGGAGUGUUGAUAGUUUUACAAAAACGAGGCUUCCUCUUGUUAAACUCUCCAUUUUAUGAGGUUUUCUUCAAUUUGUCACUCUUGUAGUUUAUGGUUUUCCAUCUAGAGAUACUGUGUGUCAAUCAGAUUUAUUCCUAACUUUUUGAUGUUCUUUCAAUACUAUUUUAACUUGUUUUAGCUCUUCUAAAACUGAUUUUCUUACUGUUUAUUAUUGAUAUAUGGAAAUAUAGUUGAUUUUUGCCUGUUGGUCUUAUGUCUAAUAAACCAAUUUACUGGUUCUGAUAAUUUAUUCGUAGAUUAUUUUGGAUGGUCUACACACGCAAUUAUAUUUCCUGAGAAAAUGGCAGUUUUAUUUCUUCCUUUUUGAUACUUAAACAUUUAGCAUCUUUUUCACACCUUUCUGCACUGGCAGGACAUUCAGAACAAGGCUGAAAAGAGAAAGAGAGAGAAGGCAUUCUUAUCUUCUCACAGUCUUCAAGGGAAAGCUCUCAGCAUUUCAUAAUUGAGUACGUUUGUGGUAGACUUUUUUUCUGUAAAUACUUAUUGUCAUAUUAUAAAAGUUUCUUUCCAUUUUAAGUUUACUAUGAGAUUUUCUAGAAAUCAUUAAUAAAUGUUGACUUUUAAUGAAGGCA